Molecule: long non-coding RNA, 560 nt
Organism: Salvia miltiorrhiza (redroot sage)
Lineage: Eukaryota; Viridiplantae; Streptophyta; Magnoliopsida; Lamiales; Lamiaceae
Exons: 4
Source: RefSeq, a predicted model, not a curated record
UUUUUAUUUAUUUAUUUAUAAUCUAUAUAUCUAUAUCUAUUAUAUAAAACACCAGUUUUAACGGUAAUACUUUGGCGCCAGAUUUUAUCUCUCCCACGUUUUCUCCAACUUUUAUUAACCACGAUUCGAUCUUCUCCCACGAUUAUCAACAUCUGAAACCCUUUUCAUGAACUCUCUUCAGUUCCAGAUUCCAUAACGGCUCCUUGCCAAUCCAUCGUUCAUCAAAUUCAAUCGAAGAUUCGGCUGCCAUUUUUCAGUCGUCAACUGUCGCCCUAGCGCCGCCCCCUCAGACCAACGUUGCUCAAAACGAUUCCAUAACCGUUCUUCUCUGUUACAUCGCUCACCAAACUCAAUCGAAGACUCGGCCACCAUUUCUCGGUCAUCAAUCGCUGCCGCCUCAGACCAACGUCGCCCAAAACGACAGUGUGUGUGCAAAGCAAGAUACAAGAUUAGUCAAUACAUUGAGGGCCACUGCAUCGGAAAUUAGAGAAGUGUUUCUAAAAGUGCUGGUACUCUUAUCCAAUAGUUAGAGGUUUCACAACAAUCGGAACUGGAGGUAA